UUCAGAUGUUUUUAGACAUAAAUUAGACGUAUGUACUAAGAUUUAUACGCGAAUCAUCCUAAAUCGCAGUAACAAGUGUUUCAGCGUUAAAUCUGCAAAAAAAAAUACCAACGCAAAUACAUAAAACGUGAUAUUUUGGUCGCUUAUGGUAACCUCUCAAGUAGAGAGUAAAACAGAAACACUAACUUCAUCAACACCGCAGAACGAUAUACGAGUAACAUUCGAACACUUGUGGUUCAGCAUAAAAAACGCUCUCGAAAGCAGAAAUAAAGAUUUUUAUCCAUAGAUUUAAUCCAAGGAUUACGUUCAAAUCAUAAGUAUACAUUCGAUAAAUUAGUUUAUUAAACAAAAUAAAAGUUGAUUUGCUACUUGAAAAAAAUAUCGUUGCUUGUCAUCAUGCCCAAAGGAGGUUCAUCAAACCAAGUUCCACCGAAUCACGAGGUGUUGAACAGCUGCGAAAAAUGUGGCGAAUUGACAACCACCACAUUUUUGAAUCCAGAUAAAUUUUGUUGGCGUGAUGGUGCAAAAAUUGACCAAGUUGUCGUCCCAAAAUCCCAAAAUCAAAAAUGAUUUUCAUGCGGAACAAUUUUUUGUUAUUUUUCAAUGGAAAAUAAAAAAGAUAAUACGAUUUUCAAUCGUUAUAAAUUAAUAA
Contarinia nasturtii (swede midge) is the source of this 652-nucleotide long non-coding RNA. RefSeq lists it as uncharacterized. The record is from RefSeq and is a predicted model, not a curated record. Lineage: Eukaryota; Metazoa; Arthropoda; Insecta; Diptera; Cecidomyiidae. The transcript is spliced from 2 exons.